UACGAAGGGAGCUAGCGUUGUUCGGAAUUACUGGGCGUAAAGGGCGCGUAGGCGGCUCAGCAAGUUGGAUGUGAAAGCCCAGGGCUCAACCCUGGAAUAGCAUUCAAGACUGCUUUGCUUGAAUUCGGUAGAGGUUGGUGGAAUUCCCAGUGUAGAGGUGAAAUUCGUAGAGAUUGGGAAGAACACCCGUGGCGAAGGCGGCCAACUGGACCGACAUUGACGCUGAGGCGCGAAAGCGUGGGGAUCAAACAGG
This 253-nucleotide ribosomal RNA is filed under the name uncultured bacterium. RNAcentral's name for it is "partial 16S ribosomal RNA". It matches the Rfam family "Bacterial small subunit ribosomal RNA", at positions 524 to 776 of the family's 1533-position model. The record is from RNAcentral.